ACGCUUCUUUUCUACCGAGUGCUUGCACUCACUUGAAAAGAGGAGUGGCGGACGGGUGAGUAACACGUGGGUAACCUGCCCAUCAGAGGGGGAUAACACUUGGAAACAGGUGCUAAUACCGCAUAAUAGUCGACACCGCAUGGUGUUGAUUUGAAAGACGCUUUCGGGUGUCACUGAUGGAUGGACCCGCGGUGCAUUAGCUAGUUGGUGAGGUAACGGCUCACCAAGGCGAUGAUGCAUAGCCGACCUGAGAGGGUGAUCGGCCACACUGGGACUGAGACACGGCCCAGACUCCUACGGGAGGCAGCAGUAGGGAAUCUUCGGCAAUGGACGAAAGUCUGACCGAGCAACGCCGCGUGAGUGAAGAAGGUUUUCGGAUCGUAAAACUCUGUUGUUAGAGAAGAAUAAGUAGGAGAGUAACUGCUCUUACCUUGACGGUAUCUAACCAGAAAGCCACGGCUAACUACGUGCCAGCAGCCGCGGUAAUACGUAGGUGGCAAGCGUUGUCCGGAUUUAUUGGGCGUAAAGCGAGCGCAGGCGGUUUCUUAAGUCUGAUGUGAAAGCCCCCGGCUCAACCGGGGAGGGUCAUUGGAAACUGGGAGACUUGAGUGCAGAAGAGGAGAGUGGAAUUCCAUGUGUAGCGGUGAAAUGCGUAGAUAUAUGGAGGAACACCAGUGGCGAAGGCGACUCUCUGGUCUGUAACUGACGCUGAGGCUCGAAAGCGUGGGGAGCAACAGGAUUAGAUACCCUGCUAGUUCACGCCGUAAACGAUGAGUGCUAAGUGUUGGAAGGGUUUCCGCCCUUCAGUGCUGCAGCAAACGCAUUAAGCACUCCGCCUGGGGG
This 843-nucleotide ribosomal RNA is filed under the name uncultured bacterium. Its description in RNAcentral is "bacterial SSU rRNA". It matches the Rfam family "Bacterial small subunit ribosomal RNA", at positions 66 to 879 of the family's 1533-position model. The record is from RNAcentral.